GAUGAACGCUGGCGGCGUGCCUAAUACAUGCAAGUCGAGCGAACAGACGAGGAGCUUGCUCCUCUGACGUUAGCGGCGGACGGGUGAGUAACACGUGGAUAACCUACCUAUAAGACUGGGAUAACUUCGGGAAACCGGAGCUAAUACCGGAUAACAUGUUGAACCGCAUGGUUCAACAGUGAAAGACGGUCUUGCUGUCACUUAUAGAUGGAUCCGCGCCGCAUUAGCUAGUUGGUAAGGUAACGGCUUACCAAGGCAACGAUGCGUAGCCGACCUGAGAGGGUGAUCGGCCACACUGGAACUGAGACACGGUCCAGACUCCUACGGGAGGCAGCAGUAGGAAAUCUUCCGCAAUGGGCGAAAGCCUGACGGAGCAACGCCGCGUGAGUGAAGAAGGUCUUCGGAUCGUAAAACUCUGUUAUUAGGGAAGAGCAAAUGUGUAAGUAACUAUGCACGUCUUGACGGUACCUAAUCAGAAAGCCACGGCUAACUACGUG
RNAcentral lists this ribosomal RNA (497 nucleotides) under uncultured bacterium. RNAcentral's name for it is "partial 16S ribosomal RNA". It matches the Rfam family "Bacterial small subunit ribosomal RNA", at positions 28 to 507 of the family's 1533-position model. The record is from RNAcentral.